RNAcentral lists this ribosomal RNA (468 nucleotides) under uncultured bacterium. RNAcentral describes it as "partial 16S ribosomal RNA". It matches the Rfam family "Bacterial small subunit ribosomal RNA", at positions 28 to 507 of the family's 1533-position model. The record is from RNAcentral.
GAUGAACGCUGGCGGCGUGCUUAACACAUGCAAGUCGAACGGAAAGGCCCAAGCUUGCUUGGGUACUCGAGUGGCGAACGGGUGAGUAACACGUGGGUGAUCUGCCCUGCACUUCGGGAUAAGCCUGGGAAACUGGGUCUAAUACCGGAUAGGACGAUGGUUUGGAUGCCAUUGUGGAAGGUUUUUUCGGUGUGGGAUGAGCUCGCGGCCUAUCAGCUUGUUGGUGGGGUAAUGGCCUACCAAGGCGUCGACGGGUAGCCGGCCUGAGAGGGUGUACGGCCACAUUGGGACUGAGAUACGGCCCAGACUCCUACGGGAGGCAGCAGUGGGGAAUAUUGCACAAUGGGCGCAAGCCUGAUGCAGCGACGCCGCGUGGGGGAUGACGGCCUUCGGGUUGUAAACUCCUUUCGCUAGGGGCGAAGCGUUUUUGUGACGGUACCUGGAGAAGAAGCACCGGCUAACUACGUG